Molecule: transfer RNA, 78 nt
Filed under: Vibrio harveyi
Lineage: Bacteria; Pseudomonadati; Pseudomonadota; Gammaproteobacteria; Vibrionales; Vibrionaceae
Description: tRNA-OTHER
Rfam family: tRNA
About the family: Transfer RNA (tRNA) molecules are approximately 80 nucleotides in length. Their secondary structure includes four short double-helical elements and three loops (D, anti-codon, and T loops).
Source: RNAcentral
GGAGCGGUAGUUCAGUUGGUUAGAAUACCUACUCUGUCACGCCGGGGGUCGCGGGUUCGAGUCCCGUCCGCUCCGCCA